This 205-nucleotide ribosomal RNA is filed under the name uncultured bacterium. RNAcentral's name for it is "partial 16S ribosomal RNA". It matches the Rfam family "Bacterial small subunit ribosomal RNA", at positions 568 to 774 of the family's 1533-position model. The record is from RNAcentral.
UGCGUAGGCGGUCUUGCAAGUCAGGAGUGAAAGGCAUUGGCUCAACCAAUGUAAGCUCUUGAAACUGUUAGACUUGAGUGCAGGAGAGGAAAGUGGAAUUCCUAGUGUAGAGGUGAAAUUCGUAGAUAUUAGGAGAACACCAGUGGCGAAGGCGACUUUCUGGACUGUAACUGACGCUGAGGCACGAGAGCGUGGGGAGCGAACA